GGAGCUUGUGUCCCCCGAGCCGGUUCCGGACCACCUCGCAGCGCCGCGUCCUUAGGGGCGGGCUCGGGGGGCACCACCCUCGAGGGGCGGAACCCGUGGGGGCGGUGGCGUGGAUCCGGAGGUAGCUGCUUCUUAAAUGCUGCAUUGAAAGGAUGAAACAGAACGGAUGUGAACAAGAGUUCCCUGAGAAAGGACAGCUCUUAGAGAGAUAGGAUAAUUACUGGACUCAAGAAGAUACCAAAUCAUGAACACUUGCUCUGGGGAAAGCCAGCUGCCAUAUUGUGAGCAGACCUAUGAAAAGGCCCACUUGGUGAAGAACUGAGGCCUCUGGCUGAUGGACACAUGGGUGACCUUGCAAUCAAGUCUUCUGGCCUCAACCAAGCCUUCAGCUGAGACUGCAGCCUCAUGACAGAUCCUGAGCUAGAAGCAUCCUGCCAUCCUAAUAAGCCACUCUUGAAUUUCUGACCCUUAAAAAUUGUGAGAUAAGCACCUGUGCUUUUUUUAAGUAUUAGAUUUUAAAAACCCUGAAAAAAUAAAGAAGAAAAAAGACAACUCAUAAUCUCACCACAUUAAAAAGAAUAGCUAUAGAAAAAUUCCAGUAGUAUAAAAAGGAAAAAUGGAAAUAACUCCCCACCAUCCCUGAUCUUUAGUUCUUUUUCCCAGUGACAUUUUCUUUCCCAAGAAAUGUUCAUGCAUAUGCAAUAUAUGUGUAAACCCUUUAAGAUGUUCACAAAAAGAUCAUGUUACACUCAUUCGAAAAACUUAAUAUUAUAUCUUGAAGGUGUCUUCAUAUCAGUAUACAUACAUCUAUCUUAGUUUGUUAAUAGAUUUCCCAUAAUUUAAAUGUACCAUAUUUCUUUUACCAGUCCCCAUAUAUGGACAUUUAGGAUAUUUCCAGUAUUCUUUUCUGUUAUAAAAAUAUGGUGAUAAACAUUUUCAUGCUUUUUUGAGUAUCUUCAAGUAAAGUCCUAUGGGUAGCAUUCUGGUAUCACGUUGUAUAUGCAUUUAAAGUUGAUGCUAUUCACUUGUUCCACAAUCUUUGCUCCGAGUUUACACUGAUGAAGCAUGAGAAUGCUAUAUCCCCACAAACCUGUGCAUAUUGUUGAUAGUAAGCAUUGUUUGCUAUUUUCUGACUAUUUAUUUUUCUUCUUUUGAGAAUUGCCAUGCCUAGAAGAGUGCCUGUCUUAUAAUAUAUAAGAUAAUAACUUGAUAGCUAGCAUUUCUGAGGCUUCUUGUGCCUUUAAUGUAUAUUUACUGUUUUGAUACUUACAAAGACCCUAUGAAGUAGGCACUAUUAUUAUCUGCUUAUGGCUGGUGGGAAAACUGAGCUGUAGAGAAUUUAAACAAACUGUCCCAGGUCACACAACUAGGAAGGGUGGAGCCAGGAUGCAAAUGAUAUGGAAUUUUAAAAAAUGGGUAGUUGAGUGAAUGAAUAAAUAGAUGACCUGUU
Molecule: long non-coding RNA, 1450 nt
Organism: Pan troglodytes (chimpanzee)
Lineage: Eukaryota; Metazoa; Chordata; Mammalia; Primates; Hominidae
Exons: 3
Source: RefSeq, a predicted model, not a curated record